AAUUACCAAUCAAUUAAGGUCAAGGACCUGAACGGGAGGAGGACGUAUUCAGGAAGAUCGUCAACAUGAUGCCAACGGAGGACUGCCGUUAUGCCCUGUAUGACUGUUCCUGGGAGAGCAAGGACCGCACCAAAGAGGACCUGGUCUUCAUCAUGUGGGCUCCAGAACACUCAACUAUCAAAAAGAAAAUGAAAUACGCCAGCUCAAAGCAAUACAUUAAAGCAAAGUUCCAAGGUCUGAAGUUCGAGUGGCAGGUGAACGACAUGUCAGACGCCAAAGACAGCUCCGUCUUCAUCGAUAAACUGGGAGGCAGAGGAGUCGUUAAAAGACUGGAGGGAAAGAGGUCUAAGCACCUCCUGACGCCGCCGUACAACACUGAAUCAAAACCAGACCUGGGUUCAAAUACUAUUUGAAAAUCCUUCAGAUACUUUCAGCGUUUGCUUAAGGCUGCCAGGUGGGCUUUAAAAAAAUAAUAAUAACGUUUGGGACUUUUCUAUUACUUCCGUUGCAACAAGUUCAAUCAAGUAUUUGAGUUCGAAUAGUGUUUGAACACAGGUCUGGUCAAAACACCAAUGCAAAAGCAGCCCACUUCCUGUGUGUCCAAUUGAACUGUCCAUCACAGAGUAUUGUAAUUGAUUUGGUCUUUUUUUUUUUUACUCCCUUGUUCAAUAGCAGAUUGGUAAUAAAAUAGCUACUCAUCUAGUUGAUAAAUGCCAUAUUUUUCCCAGACGUAACUGCUUCAUGAUUUAUACAAAUGAACAUUAAUUUUCUUGUAGCUUGGGAUCUUAGUAUCAUCCUUGAAUGGAAUUGUUGUGUUUGUUGGUAUCCUGCGUCUAUUGACUCUGUUCCAGACAAAUCAUCUGAUGUGAUUCAAAUCAUAUUAUUCAUCUACCUUCCAUGUUUGCUGAUGUUUUGUUGAAAAUUUGAAAGUUUCACUAAAUAUAUUGUUAAAAGGAAGAUACCUCUGCCGAAUGUUGAUGACAGAAGCUCCACCACUUCAUAAUAAAGAGAAAGUGAAUUUCCUGUA
Molecule: RNA transcript, 1027 nt
Organism: Oncorhynchus gorbuscha (pink salmon)
Lineage: Eukaryota; Metazoa; Chordata; Actinopteri; Salmoniformes; Salmonidae
Gene name: cofilin-2-like
Exons: 4
Source: RefSeq, a predicted model, not a curated record